GCGUUGUCCGGAAUUAUUGGGCGUAAAGAGCUCGUAGGCGGUCUGUCGCGUCGGAUGUGAAAAUCCAGGGCUCAACCCUGGACCUGCAUUCGAUACGGGCAGACUAGAGUUCGGUAGGGGAGACUGGAAUUCCUGGUGUAGCGGUGAAAUGCGCAGAUAUCAGGAGGAACACCGGUGGCGAAGGCGGGUCUCUGGGCCGAAACUGACGCUGAGGAGCGAAAGCGUG
Molecule: ribosomal RNA, 226 nt
Filed under: uncultured bacterium
Lineage: Bacteria
Description: partial 16S ribosomal RNA
Rfam family: Bacterial small subunit ribosomal RNA
Source: RNAcentral